Molecule: ribosomal RNA, 253 nt
Filed under: uncultured bacterium
Lineage: Bacteria
Description: partial 16S ribosomal RNA
Rfam family: Bacterial small subunit ribosomal RNA
Source: RNAcentral
UACGGGGGGGGUAAGCGUUGUUCGGAUUUACUGGGCGUAAAGGGCGCGUAGGCGGCGCAACAAGUCACUUGUGAAAUCUCCGGGCUUAACCCGGAGCGGCCAAGUGAUACUGUCGUGCUAGAGUGCGGAAGGGGCUACUGGAAUUCUCGGUGUAGCGGUGAAAUGCGUAGAUAUCGAGAGGAACACCUGCGGCGAAGGCGGGUAGCUGGGCCGACACUGACGCUGAGGCGCGAAAGCCAGGGGAGCGAACGGG